This 528-nucleotide long non-coding RNA is filed under the name Mytilus galloprovincialis (Mediterranean mussel). Lineage: Eukaryota; Metazoa; Mollusca; Bivalvia; Mytilida; Mytilidae. The record is from RNAcentral.
CGUCUGUUCUUACUAAUUUUAACAAGACAGUUUCUGUAGACAGUACAAUAACUAGUUUUGAAGAUAAUUUUAUACCAAAUGAUAAUGAAGAUCAGCUGUUAUUUCGCGCUUCUCAGGAAAUCGUUGAAACUGCAUUAAACGACAUUGCUAACUAUGAAAUAGUACAAAUAAAUAGCAAUACAAAUACUACAACCAUUACUCCAGAAGUUCCUAUUGAAUCAAUUUCUAGCACUACUGCUGAUGUUAACACUUUCCCAAAUAUAGAUAUUGCUCAAGGUUAUAGACGGCAAUGUUCUCUUCCAUCUAUUCUUAACAAUGCAAACAUCAAAGGUGACGUAAUCAUAAAUUACAUGCAUCCAAAUGAGGGACAAAAGGAAAAUAAGAAACCAAAUACUUGCAAGAGAAAAUGGGUGAUUUAUGACACAGAUUCAGAAUAGAACUCAUUACAAAAUCAUCAAAAGACCCAUUUUCUUUCUCUAGUAUAUUGUUUAACACUACAUAGUAAAAGUACAUUACAUGUAAUUGCUU